GACGAACGCUGGCGGCGUGCUUAACACAUGCAAGUCGAACGGAAAGGCCCUUCGGGGUACUCGAGUGGCGAACGGGUGAGUAACACGUGGGUGAUCUGCCCUGCACUUUGGGAUAAGCCUGGGAAACUGGGUCUAAUACCGAAUAGGACCACGCGCUUCAUGGUGUGUGGUGGAAAGCUUUUGCGGUGUGGGAUGGGCCCGCGGCCUAUCAGCUUGUUGGUGGGGUAAUGGCCUACCAAGGCGACGACGGGUAGCCGGCCUGAGAGGGUGACCGGCCACACUGGGACUGAGAUACGGACCAGACUCCUACGGGAGGCAGCAGUGGGGAAUAUUGCACAAUGGGCGCAAGCCUGAUGCAGCGACGCCGCGUGAGGGAUGACGGCCUUCGGGUUGUAAACCUCUUUCAAUAGGGACGAAGCGCAAGUGACGGUACCUAUAGAAGAAGCACCGGCCAACUACGUG
This 462-nucleotide ribosomal RNA is filed under the name uncultured bacterium. Its description in RNAcentral is "partial 16S ribosomal RNA". It matches the Rfam family "Bacterial small subunit ribosomal RNA", at positions 28 to 507 of the family's 1533-position model. The record is from RNAcentral.